RNAcentral lists this non-coding RNA (98 nucleotides) under Pantoea sp. Its description in RNAcentral is "TPP sequence". It matches the Rfam family "TPP riboswitch aptamer (THI element)". From Rfam's summary of the family: Vitamin B(1) in its active form thiamin pyrophosphate (TPP) is an essential coenzyme that is synthesised by coupling of pyrimidine and thiazole moieties in bacteria. The previously detected thiamin-regulatory element, thi box was extended, resulting in a new, highly conserved RNA secondary structure, the THI element, which is widely distributed in eubacteria and also occurs in some archaea. The record is from RNAcentral. Lineage: Bacteria; Pseudomonadati; Pseudomonadota; Gammaproteobacteria; Enterobacterales; Erwiniaceae.
CCGUUCUCAACGGGGUGCCCUGCGUUACAGGGGCUGAGAGAGACCCGUCGAACCUGAUCCGGUUAAUACCGGCGUAGGGAUUUGAGAUGCCUCACUGC